CGUAGGGGAACCUGCGG
This 17-nucleotide ribosomal RNA is filed under the name Dermanyssus gallinae. RNAcentral describes it as "partial 18S ribosomal RNA". Lineage: Eukaryota; Metazoa; Arthropoda; Arachnida; Mesostigmata; Dermanyssidae. The record is from RNAcentral.